AGUGAACGCUGGCGGUAGGCCUAACACAUGCAAGUCGAACGGCAGCACAGUAAGAGCUUGCUCUUACGGGUGGCGAGUGGCGGAAGGGUGAGGAAUAUAUCGGAAUCUACUUUUUCGUGGGGGAUAACGUAGGGAAACUUACGCUAAUACCGCAUAAGAACUACGGGUGAAAGCAGGGGAUCUUCGGACCUUGCGCGGUUGAAUGAGCCGAUGUUGGAUUAGCUAGUUGGCGGGGUAAAGGCCCACGAAGGCGACGAUCCGUAGCUGGUCUGAGAGGAUGAUCGGCCACACUGGAACUUGGACACGCUCCAGACUCCUACGGGAGGCAGCAGUGUGGAAUAUUGGACAAUGGUCGCAAGCCUGAUCCAGCCAUACCGCGUGUGUGAAGAAGGCCUUCGGUUUGUAAAGCCCUUUUGUUGGGAAAGAAAAGCAGCCGGUUAAUACCCCGCUGUUCUGACGGUACCCAAAGAAUAAGCACCGGCUAACUUCGUG
RNAcentral lists this ribosomal RNA (492 nucleotides) under uncultured bacterium. Its description in RNAcentral is "partial 16S ribosomal RNA". It matches the Rfam family "Bacterial small subunit ribosomal RNA", at positions 29 to 507 of the family's 1533-position model. The record is from RNAcentral.